GCUUGUCUCAAAGAUUAAGCCAUGCAUGUCUAAGUGUAAAUACGUCUACACUGUGAAACUGCGAAUGGCUCAUUAAAUCAGUUAUAGUUUAUUUGAUGGUCCUUGCUACUUGGAUAACCGUAGUAAUUCUAGAGCUAAUACAUGCAUCAAACCCCGACUUCUGGAAGGGGUGUAUUUAUUAGAUGGAAACCAAUGCGGGGCAACCCGGUAAAUGGUGAUUCAUAAUAACUUUCGGAUCGAUCUUCGGAUCGAUGCAUCAUUCAAGUUUCUGCCCUAUCAGCUUUGGAUGGUAGGGUAUUGGCCUACCAUGGCUUUAACGGGUAACGGAGAAUUAGGGUUCGAUUCCGGAGAGGGAGCCUGAGAAAUGGCUACCACAUCCAAGGAAGGCAGCAGG
RNAcentral lists this ribosomal RNA (394 nucleotides) under uncultured Chrysophyceae. Its description in RNAcentral is "partial small subunit ribosomal RNA". It matches the Rfam family "Eukaryotic small subunit ribosomal RNA", at positions 30 to 432 of the family's 1831-position model. Lineage: Eukaryota; Chrysophyceae. The record is from RNAcentral.